RNAcentral lists this ribosomal RNA (502 nucleotides) under uncultured bacterium. RNAcentral's name for it is "partial 16S ribosomal RNA". It matches the Rfam family "Bacterial small subunit ribosomal RNA", at positions 28 to 507 of the family's 1533-position model. The record is from RNAcentral.
GACGAACGCUGGCGGCGUGCUUAACACAUGCAAGUCGAACGGUGAAGGGGCCUGCUUUUGUGGGCCCUGGAUGAGUGGCGAACGGGUGAGUAACACGUGAGUAACCUGCCCCCUUCUUCUGGAUAACCGCAUGAAAGUGUGGCUAGUACGGGAUAUUCUGGGUCUGUCGCAUGAUGGGUCUGGGAAAGAUUGCGCCUUUGGGUGUUUUUGGUGGGGGAUGGGCUCGCGGCCUAUCAGCUUGUUGGUGGGGUGAUGGCCUACCAAGGCGGUGACGGGUAGCCGGCCUGAGAGGGUGGACGGUCACACUGGGACUGAGACACGGCCCAGACUCCUACGGGAGGCAGCAGUGGGGAAUAUUGCACAAUGGGCGCAAGCCUGAUGCAGCGACGCCGCGUGAGGGAUGGAGGCCUUCGGGUUGUAAACCUCUUUCGCCAGUGAAGCAGGCCUGCUCCUUGUGGGUGGGUUGACGGUAGCUGGAUAAGAAGCGCCGGCUAACUACGUG